RNAcentral lists this ribosomal RNA (1470 nucleotides) under Salmonella enterica subsp. enterica serovar Weltevreden. Its description in RNAcentral is "partial 23S ribosomal RNA". It matches the Rfam family "Bacterial large subunit ribosomal RNA", at positions 150 to 1547 of the family's 2925-position model. Lineage: Bacteria; Pseudomonadati; Pseudomonadota; Gammaproteobacteria; Enterobacterales; Enterobacteriaceae. The record is from RNAcentral.
AUCAUUAACUGAAUCCAUAGGUUAAUGAGGCGAACCGGGGGAACUGAAACAUCUAAGUACCCCGAGGAAAAGAAAUCAACCGAGAUUCCCCCAGUAGCGGCGAGCGAACGGGGAGGAGCCCAGAGCCUGAAUCAGCAUGUGUGUUAGUGGAAGCGUCUGGAAAGGCGCGCGAUACAGGGUGACAGCCCCGUACACAAAAGCGCAUGUGCUGUGAGCUCGAUGAGUAGGGCGGGACACGUGGUAUCCUGUCUGAAUAUGGGGGGACCAUCCUCCAAGGCUAAAUACUCCUGACUGACCGAUAGUGAACCAGUACCGUGAGGGAAAGGCGAAAAGAACCCCGGCGAGGGGAGUGAAAAAGAACCUGAAACCGUGUACGUACAAGCAGUGGGAGCCCCACCACCAAAGCGUUUCGCUUUGUGUGGUGCACAAAGAAGCGUAACGACAGCACUGAAUGACGGUUAACGGAGCGCAAGCGACGUUCAACAUACAAAGUCAAGCAGUGGAGCGCUUUGGGGUGGGGUGACUGCGUACCUUUUGUAUAAUGGGUCAGCGACUUAUAUUCUGUAGCAAGGUUAACCGAAUAGGGGAGCCGGAGGGAAACCGAGUCUUAACCGGGCGUUAAGUUGCAGGGUAUAGACCCGAAACCCGGUGAUCUAGCCAUGGGCAGGUUGAAGGUUGGGUAACACUAACUGGAGGACCGAACCGACUAAUGUUGAAAAAUUAGCGGAUGACCUGUGGCUGGGGGUGAAAGGCCAAUCAAACCGGGAGAUAGCUGGUUCUCCCCGAAAGCUAUUUAGGUAGCGCCUCGUGAAUUCAUCUCCGGGGGUAGAGCACUGUUUCGGCUAGGGGGCCAUCCCGGCUUACCAACCCGAUGCAAACUGCGAAUACCGGAGAAUGUUAUCACGGGAGACACACGGCGGGUGCUAACGUCCGUCGUGAAGAGGGAAACAACCCAGACCGCCAGCUAAGGUCCCAAAGUCAUGGUUAAGUGGGAAACGAUGUGGGAAGGCCCAGACAGCCAGGAUGUUGGCUUAGAAGCAGCCAUCAUUUAAAGAAAGCGUAAUAGCUCACUGGUCGAGUCGGCCUGCGCGGAAGAUGUAACGGGGCUAAACCAUGCACCGAAGCUGCGGCAGCGACGCUUAUGCGUUGUUGGGUAGGGGAGCGUUCUGUAAGCCUGUGAAGGUGGCCUGUGAGGGUUGCUGGAGGUAUCAGAAGUGCGAAUGCUGACAUAAGUAACGAUAAAGCGGGUGAAAAGCCCGCUCGCCGGAAGACCAAGGGUUCCUGUCCAACGUUAAUCGGGGCAGGGUGAGUCGACCCCUAAGGCGAGGCCGAAAGGCGUAGUCGAUGGGAAACGGGUUAAUAUUCCCGUACUUGGUGUUACUGCGAAGGGGGGACGGAGAAGGCUAUGUUGGCCGGGCGACGGUUGUCCCGGUUUAAGCGUGUAGGUGUGUGUUCCAGGUAAAUCCGGUU